UCCGUGAGAGGGGAAGAGGUGGACCGAGAGGUCUGAGGGGUUGAGGACUCAGCAAUCGGUGCUGUGCUUGUGUGGGUGGGGGGCCCCGUGCUUCCAGUGGUGGGUGUUGGGGUUGGGGUCACCGUAGUGGUGGUGCUGAUGGGUAUCAUGGUUGGGGUCUGUGUGCCGGUGGGUGUUGGGGUUGCGGUCACCGUAGUUGUGGUGGUGAUGGGUGUCACGGUUGUACUCUUUGUGCUGGUGGGUGUUGGGGUUGGGGUCACCGUAGUGGUGGUGCUGAUGGGUGUCGAUGUUGGGGUCUGUGUGCCGGUGGGUGUUGGGGUUGGGGUCACCAUAGUGGUGGUGGUGAUGGGUGUCAGGGUUGUACUCGGUGUGCCGGUUGGUGUUGGGGUUGGGGUCACCGUCGGGGUGGUGGUGGUGGUGG
RNAcentral lists this long non-coding RNA (421 nucleotides) under Homo sapiens (human). RNAcentral's name for it is "HSALNT0360938". The record is from RNAcentral. Lineage: Eukaryota; Metazoa; Chordata; Mammalia; Primates; Hominidae.